GACGAACGCUGGCGGCGUGCUUAACACAUGCAAGUCGAACGGAAAGGCCCUGCUUUUGUGGGGUGCUCGAGUGGCGAACGGGUGAGUAACACGUGAGUAACCUGCCCUUGACUUUGGGAUAACUUCAGGAAACUGGGGCUAAUACCGGAUAGGAGCUCCUGCUGCAUGGUGGGGGUUGGAAAGUUUCGGCGGUUGGGGAUGGACUCGCGGCUUAUCAGCUUGUUGGUGGGGUAGUGGCUUACCAAGGCUUUGACGGGUAGCCGGCCUGAGAGGGUGACCGGCCACAUUGGGACUGAGAUACGGCCCAGACUCCUACGGGAGGCAGCAGUGGGGAAUAUUGCACAAUGGGCGGAAGCCUGAUGCAGCAACGCCGCGUGCGGGAUGACGGCCUUCGGGUUGUAAACCGCUUUCGCCAGUGACGAAGCGUGAGUGACGGUAAUGGGUAAAGAGGCACCGGCUAAGUACGUG
RNAcentral lists this ribosomal RNA (468 nucleotides) under uncultured bacterium. Its description in RNAcentral is "partial 16S ribosomal RNA". It matches the Rfam family "Bacterial small subunit ribosomal RNA", at positions 28 to 507 of the family's 1533-position model. The record is from RNAcentral.